Molecule: long non-coding RNA, 641 nt
Filed under: Mustela putorius furo (domestic ferret)
Lineage: Eukaryota; Metazoa; Chordata; Mammalia; Carnivora; Mustelidae
Description: lncRNA (ENSMPUG00000027853.1)
Source: RNAcentral
NNNNNNNNNNAUAUACCUGAUGAAACUUCUGCCACACCGGGCACUAAUUCUUUAUCUGAUUGUCUCUUCCACCAGGCUGGAGGAUCCUGAAGCCAAGUUCUGGGCUGUCUCCCUGGAUCUCAAAGGUCCCCCGUGGGGUCAGGCCAUAUAGCAUGCACUCAGGCAAUGCCUGCUGAGUGAAUAAGGGAUUUGUGACUCAAGCAAAUGAGGGGACAAAUGGAGGUCGAGGUGAGUGAGGGAGGGAGGGAGGUGUUAGCACUGGGAUCAUAGUCUGGGGACGAACGCUGAGAGGAAGGAAGGGCUGGGGCCAGGCACGGGAAUGGGCAAGACCCACAGACAACCUGGUGUUCCAGUGACAGAGGCAGGGGUGGGGGGUCUCUGAUGGGCAACAAUUCCAUGGUAGGGGUACAUGCACAGAAGGGCUUAGUAGGCACCCUUCCCUCCAGUGGUCAAAUGUUCUGCUAUUUCUUUACCCAGAUUGUCUGUGUGCAGAAUGCUGUCCGAAUGUCCCGGCAUGCCUGUGAUUUGGGGCCUGUCUUUCCCAGGGAUGGUGAAUGCUGCAGAGAAGUGAGAAAAUUGAGACCCACAGGGAAGAGAGCGGCCAAUGGCCACAUGGCAAGUGGUGGCCUGGGAAGGUCCAG